Molecule: transfer RNA, 73 nt
Filed under: Lampadena atlantica
Lineage: Eukaryota; Metazoa; Chordata; Actinopteri; Myctophiformes; Myctophidae
Description: tRNA-Thr
Rfam family: tRNA
About the family: Transfer RNA (tRNA) molecules are approximately 80 nucleotides in length. Their secondary structure includes four short double-helical elements and three loops (D, anti-codon, and T loops).
Source: RNAcentral
GCCUUAGUAGCUCAGAGAAUAGAGCGUCGGUCUUGUAAGCCGAAUGUCGGAAGUUUAAAUCUUCCCUAACGCU